This 177-nucleotide unclassified non-coding RNA is filed under the name uncultured Ascomycota. RNAcentral describes it as "sequence contains ITS2". Lineage: Eukaryota; Fungi; Ascomycota. The record is from RNAcentral.
UACCCCUCGAAAGACUUUAUUUAUAUAAAGUGCUUCGGCAUUGGGCCGGCGAAUGAGGCUUUCUAAAGUAGAGCACUUCGCAGCCUGCAAAUUAGUGGCAGCGCGUUAGUAAUUCCCCUGUGUAGUACCUUGCUCACAUUGGAUAACUUUGUCGUUAGCAUUAAACCAUAACUUUUA